GACGAACGCUGGCGGCGUGCUUAACACAUGCAAGUCGAACGGAAAGGCCCUGCUUUUGUGGGGUGCUCGAGUGGCGAACGCGUGAGUAACACGUGAGUAACCUGCCCUUGACUUUGGGAUAACUUCAGGAAACUGGGGCUAAUACCGGGUAGGAGCUCCUGCUGCAUGGUGGGGGUUGGAAAGUUUCGGCGGUUGGGGAUGGACUCGCGGCUUAUGAGCUUGUUGGUGGGGUAGUGGCUUACCAAGGUUUUGACGGGUAGCCGGCCUGAGAGGGUGACCGGCCACAUUGGGACUAAGGUACGGCGCAGACUCGUACGGUAGGCAGCAGUGGGGAAUCUUGCACAGUGGGGGGAAGCCUGAUGCAGCAAUGCCGGGUGCGGGAUGACGGCCUUCGGGUUGUAAACCGCUGUCGCCGGUGACGAAGCGUGAGUGACGGUAAUGGGUAAAGAAGCACCGGCUAACUACGUG
RNAcentral lists this ribosomal RNA (468 nucleotides) under uncultured bacterium. RNAcentral describes it as "partial 16S ribosomal RNA". It matches the Rfam family "Bacterial small subunit ribosomal RNA", at positions 28 to 507 of the family's 1533-position model. The record is from RNAcentral.